RNAcentral lists this ribosomal RNA (132 nucleotides) under Neogale vison (American mink). Lineage: Eukaryota; Metazoa; Chordata; Mammalia; Carnivora; Mustelidae. The record is from RNAcentral.
GGCCAUACCACCCUGAACGCGCCCGAUCUCGUCUGAUCUCGGAAGCUAAGCAGGGUCUGGCCUGGUUAGUACUUGGAUGGGAAAAAUCUUUUAAAAAAUAUUAUUUCCUCCUAUUAUUUGAAUACCUGUAUC